RNAcentral lists this ribosomal RNA (500 nucleotides) under uncultured bacterium. Its description in RNAcentral is "partial 16S ribosomal RNA". It matches the Rfam family "Bacterial small subunit ribosomal RNA", at positions 28 to 523 of the family's 1533-position model. The record is from RNAcentral.
GACGAACGCUGGUGGAAUGCUUUACACAUGCAAGUCGAACGGCAGCACGGACUUCGGUCUGGUGGCGAGUGGCGAACGGGUGAGUAAUACAUCGGAACGUGCCCAGUCGUGGGGGAUAACGUAGCGAAAGCUACGCUAAUACCGCAUACGAUCUAAGGAUGAAAGCGGGGGAUCGCAAGACCUCGCGCGAUUGGAGCGGCCGAUGGCAGAUUAGGUAGUUGGUGGGGUAAAGGCCUACCAAGCCGACGAUCUGUAGCUGGUCUGAGAGGACGAGCAGCCACACUGGGACUGAGAAACGGCCCAGACUCCUACGGGAGGCAGCAGUGGGGAAUUUUGGACAAUGGGCGCAAGCCUGAUCCAGCCAUUCCGCGUGCAGGAUGAAGGCCCUCGGGUUGUAAACUGCUUUUGUACGGAACGAAAAGGCUCUGGUUAAUACCCGGGGCUCAUGACGGUACCGUAAGAAUAAGCACCGGCUAACUACGUGCCAGCCGCCGCCGUAA